UUUAAAACUUUCAACAACGGAUCUCUUGGUUCUCGCAUCGAUGAAGAACGCAGCGAAAUGCGAUAAGUAAUGUGAAUUGCAGAUUUUCGUGAAUCAUUGAAUCUUUGAACGCACAUUGCGCCCUCUGGUAUUCCAGAGGGCAUGCCUGUUUGAGCGUCAUUU
This 162-nucleotide ribosomal RNA is filed under the name Ogataea neopini. Its description in RNAcentral is "5.8S rRNA". It matches the Rfam family "5.8S ribosomal RNA". From Rfam's summary of the family: 5.8S ribosomal RNA (5.8S rRNA) is a component of the large subunit of the eukaryotic ribosome. It is transcribed by RNA polymerase I as part of the 45S precursor that also contains 18S and 28S rRNA. The record is from RNAcentral. RNAcentral also lists the same sequence under 1 other name. Lineage: Eukaryota; Fungi; Ascomycota; Pichiomycetes; Pichiales; Pichiaceae.